GCUACGAGUCACCAUCGACCUUAAGGAAAAAUCGAGGUUAUAUUAAUACCCGUUGCUAUCAACUGACUUUAAUUUAACCGUCCGAUUAUUCCAUCGGAAUUGACCAAUCGCACUUGUCAAUUCUGACUAACGACUAAAUGCAAUUAGUCAAUUCCGUUGAAAUAACCAGCCGGUUAAGUUAACAAAGGUUGGUAGAAACGGACAUAAGUCUUUGGACCGUGCUCAGUAGAAAAAGCUUAUUAUACGCUUAGUGAUUAUCGUUUCUAAUUGUUUAUUCUCUUAAAUCCGACAAAGAUCUAAGAAUAUACUCCAAUCAUAGAUAAUAAUCACUAAAGGCUAGUAAUAGCUUUUUCUGCUGAACACUCAAUAACUAACCAAACAUAUGUUUGAUUUAAAAUUUUACAAUUCAACAUUGAAUGGAAAAGUUUUCUUGUGCAAGUAGUGCAGUUUAAUGAUAAGUUAAACGUUAAUUUAUCUCCAAGUUUUACAACUCAAUGGUGGCACCCAACCACCAAAGGCUAUCUCCAACUCCUUUGCAGCUGCCAAACAGAGACGGUCUUGAUAUGUCAACCGGCUCAUCCAAGCAUAAAUCAAUAUUCGACUUUGUCGAUAUCAUUUCCAUAAAAAGUCUGAGGUCGUCCGCGUAUCGAGUCAUUGGACCAUAUGACAGACAAUUAUGAAAAUUUUCAUUUUCGUUCGUUGGAUAAUGAUCUCUUGCUGGAAUAACUUCUGCAAUUUGAGAAUGAAAAUACGACAAAUUAUAAUAUGCGUUCAACGGAAAGUUUGGUGAGGGAAAUCUUGAACAAAUAAGAUGUUCAAUUUGAGCCAGAGAAGUUCAAUAUACUCGACGUGGGUUUUAAUCCGAAGAUCCCGCAGAACAGUCCCGGUAUUCUGAUGGAACCAGCGAAGUCUGAGCCAAUUCCGAUCAACGAAGCACCUGCUCCAAGUAAGGCGGCCUGAAAUAAGUAUUUCCUGAUAAACAACAAGUGCUGAUCAGGUGAUGCUAUUCACAAGCUACAUGGCUCCAUAAGCUUUGUUAAAGAAUAUACUCAAUUAAAAAAAAUCAAGGAAAAACGUCUACUUAAAAUAUGACGUUUAUACAAAAUAUUGACUUACCUCACCGCCGGACGAGCCGCCGGUUGUGUAUCUUGUAUCAUAAGGAUUAUACGAACGGCCGUACAAAAAAUUGACAGGCUUCUUUAAUGGUAAGCGGCACACCGUACAGUGGCUUUUGUUUCUUCAACGCUACGAUAUCAACAUUGCCGGAUUUUAAUAAUGCGUCACAAUUUUUGGCCUCAGCCAAAGCUUCUUCGUAUCUGUCGUCGACGACGGCAUUGAUGUAAGGAUUUACUUCCUUGAUUCGUUCAAU
Molecule: long non-coding RNA, 1369 nt
Organism: Harpegnathos saltator (Jerdon's jumping ant)
Lineage: Eukaryota; Metazoa; Arthropoda; Insecta; Hymenoptera; Formicidae
Exons: 6
Source: RefSeq, a predicted model, not a curated record